This 253-nucleotide ribosomal RNA is filed under the name uncultured bacterium. RNAcentral's name for it is "partial 16S ribosomal RNA". It matches the Rfam family "Bacterial small subunit ribosomal RNA", at positions 524 to 776 of the family's 1533-position model. The record is from RNAcentral.
UACGGGGGGGGCAAGCGUUGUUCGGAAUUACUGGGCGUAAAGGGCUCGUAGGCGGCCAACUAAGUCAGACGUGAAAUCCCUCGGCUUAACUGGGGAACUGCGUCUGAUACUGGAUGGCUUGGAUUCGGGAGAGGAAUGCGGAAUUCCAGGUGUAGCGGUGAAAUGCGUAGAUAUCUGGAGGAACACCGGUGGCGAAGGCGGCAUUCUGGACCGACAUUGACGCUGAGGAGCGAAAGCCAGGGGAGCAAACGGG